Molecule: ribosomal RNA, 1459 nt
Filed under: Limnonectes bannaensis (large-headed frog)
Lineage: Eukaryota; Metazoa; Chordata; Amphibia; Anura; Dicroglossidae
Description: partial contains 12S ribosomal RNA, tRNA-Val, and 16S ribosomal RNA; may also contain tRNA-Phe
Rfam family: Bacterial large subunit ribosomal RNA
Source: RNAcentral
AAGUAUAGUUUAACAAAACCUCCCGCUUACACCGAGAAUAUAUCUGUGGGAAUCAGAUUACUUUGAGCCUAAAAUUAAGCCUAACCCACCCCCAUGAAAACCACUUCCAACUAAACAACAAUAAAACAUUUUAUCAGUUUAGUAAAGGCGAUUAAAAAACUUCCUAGCGCUUUACUUCUAGUACCGCAAGGGAAAAAUGAAAUAGUUUUGAAACAGCCAUUAAGCAACCUACAGCAGAGACUACCCCUCGUACCUUUUGCAUCAUGGUUUAGCUAGUCUUUUUCAAGCAAAGCGAAACAUCAGUUUGACCCCCCGAAACUAAGCGAGCUACUUCAAAACAGCUCAAUGGAGCCAACCCGUCUCUGUCGCAAAAGAGUGGGACGAUUUUUAAGUAGAGGUGAAAAGCCUACCGAGCUUAGAGAUAGCUGGUUAUUCAAGAAAAGAAUUUUAGUUCUACCUUAAGUUUCUGUAUUAACUCUAUAAACCACUCAAACUUAAGAGCUAUUCAAAUGAGGCACAGCUUAUUUGAAAAAGGAUACAACCUAUAAAAAAGGGUAAAACACCUCCCCAAAAAAAUAAGUGGGCCUAAAAGCAGCCACCUUUAAGAAAGCGUUAAAGCUUCUUUUUCCAAAAAUCUAAUACCAAAACACACCUUUAACCCUUUAUUCCUACUGAAUGAUUCUAUACUCACUAUAGAAGCCCCAAUGCUAAAACUAGUAACAAGAAAUUGACUUUCUCCAAAAUACAAGCAUAAACCAAAAUGGACUAACCAUUGGUUAUUAACGUCAAUUAAUCAAUAUAGCAACUAUAUCAAGAAAACACUAUUAGUUAUUACGUUAACCUUACACAAGUGUAUUUCCGGAAAGAUUUAAAGAAGGGGAAGGAACUCGGCAAAUAAUAACCUCGCCUGUUUACCAAAAACAUCGCCUCUUGAUAAAAUAUAAGAGGUCCAGCCUGCCCAGUGAUAUAAUUAAACGGCCGCGGUACCCUGACCGUGCAAAGGUAGCAUAAUCACUUGUUCUCUAAAUAGGGACUCGUAUCAACGGCAUCACGAGGGUUAUACUGUCUCCCCCCUCUAAUCAGUGAAACUGACCUCCCCGUGAAGAGGCGGGGAUAUUUAUACAAGACGAGAAGACCCCAUGGAGCUUUAAACCCAAUAACAACCUCCACCAAAGUACCCUAAAAAUGAAGAGGCACUGUUUAUUGGUUUUAGGUUGGGGUGACCACGGAGAAAAACUAAACCUCCAUGACGAAUGGACCUUAAGCCUAAUCUAAGAGCCACUACUCCAAGAAUCAUUAAUUUGACAUAAUUUGAUCCGGCAACCGAUCAACGAACCAAGUUACCCUGGGGAUAACAGCGCAAUCCAUUUCAAGAGCCCCUAUCGACAAAUGGGUUUACGACCUCGAUGUUGGAUCAGGGUAUCCCAGUGGUGCAGCCGCUACUAAAGGUUGUUGUCAA